CUGGUUCGAGGAAUUGAGGAAAACGAGGCUGCUGGAUGGAACCAGGAGCUAGAAACUAAUGAAGCAAUCUGGGUUGAUAGGGUAGACUCACCCUCCAAUGGAUUGGUUGAUAUUGAAUGUUGACGGUUGUAGUAAAGGUGAUCUCGGCUGUGCAGGUGUGGGUGGAAUGAUCAGUGAUAGCAUGGAUAUAUGUGGAUUAAAGGUUUCGCCACCAGCACAAGAUGUUGUUCCCGGUGGCAGCUGAGUUACGGGUGGUGGUUACAGGUUUGGAGCUUGCUAUGAUUACUAGAGUUCGUCUCUUAGUACCGAGUAGAAACUGAGAGGUUCAUGUUCAGCAUAUCUACAGGGAAGCAAAUGCCGCCGCAGCUUUUUCAACAAGAAUUGACAGGAAGAACUAUCAGCUUUUUAAUGCGGUACUGUGAUGGAAAAUGCAGGGGCGGUGGGGGAGUGUCUAUAAAAUUGGAAAACUCGUCAUCUUUCAAUGGAUCUGAUAGCUUACUAUUUGUUGCUCCCUUAAGGUUUUAUGUUUUCGUUUCCCUCAUUGGACAAAUUAAGACUUCUUCUUCCUCAUUCUGUCAUUAGCUAGCAAGCUCAUCCGCUGGUG
RNAcentral lists this long non-coding RNA (604 nucleotides) under Populus tremula. RNAcentral describes it as "long non-coding RNA (PTRE_LNC002382)". Lineage: Eukaryota; Viridiplantae; Streptophyta; Magnoliopsida; Malpighiales; Salicaceae. The record is from RNAcentral.